UUUUUGGUGUAAAGAGAGAAGGAAGAAAAACCUGCUCAAAGAGAGAAGCAGGAAACACUUCUGGCAGCGGGAAUUUCCUGCGAGCGGAUCGAAAGGACGACCGCGGUGUUCGCCGGCCCAGACCGCACCACAGGAAGUGUGUGUGCGACUCCAGAAGCAGAGGUCAAGGCCAGGGGUCACGGGUGGCACUGCAGAGAUUUACACCAGGAGAGAUCCGAGCCCGUUCCCAGCCUUCGUCUAUUUCCCGGGGAAAUUAGCCAUAAAGUCGCCGUUUUCAUCUUUCAAGCUUCUGUUUGUGCAUGUGUGUGUGUGUGUGUGUGAGUGUGUUUAGAGCCGCAGGGGUGGUGAGGAGGAUGUUGUCGCUGACUUUUGAAGCGUCUGACAGGGCGAGCGAGAGAAGGGGUGAAACUGAUCCCGACACUGACAGCUGAGACCUCCGAGGUCAUAGGUCACGACCCUGGUAACGCAAAGGAAGUGACAUCAUUUUGGUGGCAAAACAACAGCACAAACAUUACCAGCAUUAGAAAUGGAUUUGAUGAACUGUGAUGUUUUGAUUCCGACUUUAAGAACCACUAACUUCAGCUCACUGUAAGUGAGAGUCGGUCACACACAGCUUGUCAGGUCCUCCCCGGGCCGCCCGUACCUGUCAAGGUCAGUGAAUCAUGCUGUUGGACUCCAUGAUGUGAGAGGAUGAAGGUGUCGUCUUCCUCCCUGCCAUGUAAUCGUUCCCCGCUCUCUAAUGUUCACAGGCGCCGCACGACUCCUUCAUGCUGAGGAGAGACGCUUCGCUCGCCGGACCAACCAAACUCUCAUCUGCUCUGUGCUAAUUAACUGAAUGCCCAAACUCACAGCGAGACCAGAGCUCCUGACUUACCAAU
Rhinichthys klamathensis goyatoka is the source of this 878-nucleotide long non-coding RNA. RefSeq lists it as uncharacterized. Lineage: Eukaryota; Metazoa; Chordata; Actinopteri; Cypriniformes; Leuciscidae. The transcript has 5 exons. The record is from RefSeq and is a predicted model, not a curated record.